UUCCUGAAAUCAUGGUGCCAUCAGUGACAUGCACACAAACUGUCAUCACCCUGUUCCACUUAACACCCUGCACCUGCUCCAUAGUAAUGUAACCUACUACAGUCAGCCUCACAGCUCUGUCCUUGCAGUGCCAGAACUCAGUGCAUUUGUACUACUAACAGCAACAUGAGUACUAGGAAAACUGGCUGGUGUGACUCCAAAAGUUUAACAACUCCAUGAUAAUUACAGCUGUGCCUGCUCUGUUGUAAGCCAAACUCUUCAAAAUAUAGGGAAUAUUCAAAGGUAAUGGCCACCGCUGUCCUAUCAAACUGAGUAUUCACUUAUUUUAAUGAAUCCGGGAGACCAGACUUUUCAGAAAUAACCACCCAGGACCCACAAAGAUUUAAAGAGUCCUGCACUCACAGCUUCCUCAGCCUGUUUGUUGUAUGCUUUCACUUUUAACUGCAGCUUGUCCACCAGUUCCUGAAGCCGGAAAAUAUUUUUCUUAUCCUCUUCAGACUGUGAGAAGUGAAAAUAAAGUCAUCCUGGAAAUAUGGACCAAGGUGAUGCACUUAGAAUACAAGAAAGAUACAGAAUAGGGCAGAGGAUUUGAAAUACCUGGUGACCUUGUGAUGAGCUGAACAGGAAGGAAAGUCACCUAACCUGAGUUUUGUGGGAAAACCGUAAGAAACAAAAGCUUGGGAAGAGGCAGAAUUCUGGUACCCCAGAAACAUGGAAGCAUCUUAGCAUGAUAGAUCCCAGCUGAAAGAGAUCUGAGAACUUAUGCUGGAGGUUCUUGUUCUCCCGUCUGACAGUCUCUGCCUGGUCAAGAACUUCUUCAUAGGCAUUCUUCAUCUGGAAUAUCUCAGUGCUGAUGGAGCAAGACUCCUUCUGGGCAGUUUCCAGCUCAGCCUGACUCUCCUGGUACUUCUGCUUCCACUCAGCCGCAACCUGGAGUGACAGGAACCAUUAGAGCAUAAGAAUGGCCCAUUCUUCAAUACUCCUGUCCCUGCACGUAUAUGUAACAAGAACCUUAGAGGCAUAUCAUUGGGUCACAAAAUCUUCUUCAUUGCACAUUCACUGCCUGUGACAAUCAAUUCACUGGGAUACAUACUUCAUCUAUUUCAAGGGCAGCUACUUAUAUUACCCUCUUCAGACAACAGGAGUGUAUGCCCCCACGCUCACAGGCAAUGACUACAGUUCAGAAAUGAUACGGGUUCUGAUGAAUCAACAAAUCUCUGAUCAAAGAGGGAGAAGACUGGAGAAAACUAAGACAGUAUUUAUGAUGACAUUCCCUCAAAUUCCACUGAAUUAGUCUGUUUCAAAGGAUGUGUCUCCAUGAUGUCACCAGAUUUGUCACCUGAGUUUUGGGUUUACUGAAUCCUUAAAUUAACAGACUAAUAACUGAAGACCUACCGUUGCUUAAAGUCUGCAUAAAGGAUUCUGCUUGGAAACCCCUUCCUGCAAAUUCAGAUGCCUUCUAGAACCCCAUUGCACCGCAGCUGAUGCAUCACCAAGUAAUGGUCCAUUUCACCUUAAACAAGAUACAUACAUCAUGACUGUUUUUUUUUCUCCCCCCCCCGAGAGUCUCCAUAUUUACUAGCAUGACAGUACAACUUCUCCUUUUGUUAAAUUCAACCAGUUCUUGGUUAAGGAUGGAGGAAAUGAAGACAGAACAUGUUUUCAAUUCACAGAAGUUGCAGAGAGCUGCAUCAACCAGAUGAGCUUUACUACUCCGAAUGUUAGGGCUGGCAAUGCUUGUGAAUCUCACAUGGUCAAAAGGCACAGGGAGAGACAUUUCUCAAAAAUGACAGAAAAGUACUCUAGAAGACCAGCUGAAAAAUGUCACUCACUGGAUAUAGGUAGAGGUGGCACAAUGUAGAAUGUAAUACCAUCUGGAUAAUCAGCUCUUCAUGUUAUGUAAGAUUUUACCUUGGAUUUGCUGUGGAAGUAUUGACUAUACUUAACCUUGAUUAGAUUUGAUAGAUAGAUUCCUACACAGGAGAGGAUAAGCAAGAUGCUUAAAGCUUUCAAUCCCUUUAACUGCCUGUAAAGGACAGCUGAUUGAAAUUGGAAUAAUUCUCUCUCUUCUCCUGUAGUAUCUAUCAGGUAUAACAAUCAACUGUAUUUCUUAACCUUAUUCCAAGUAUUGCAAACAAAGUACAAUCGAA
Molecule: long non-coding RNA, 2150 nt
Organism: Cygnus olor (mute swan)
Lineage: Eukaryota; Metazoa; Chordata; Aves; Anseriformes; Anatidae
Exons: 3
Source: RefSeq, a predicted model, not a curated record